Molecule: transfer RNA, 72 nt
Filed under: Camelus bactrianus (Bactrian camel)
Lineage: Eukaryota; Metazoa; Chordata; Mammalia; Artiodactyla; Camelidae
Also listed under: 2 other names
Rfam family: tRNA
About the family: Transfer RNA (tRNA) molecules are approximately 80 nucleotides in length. Their secondary structure includes four short double-helical elements and three loops (D, anti-codon, and T loops).
Source: Rfam by way of RNAcentral
GAAGGUAUACCUCAGUUAUAGAGUACAUGUCUAGCAUACAUGAGGUCCUGAGUUCAAUCCCUAGUACCUCCA